GGGGACGAUCCGGAUUCGACGCCGGUGACAAAACCCGAGGUGCAUGCCGAGACGGCAGCGAGUCUCGAAAAAUCAAAGCUGCUUUAAAAUAGUCGCAAACGACGACAACUACGCACUCGCGGCGUAAAAACCGCUAGUGCCUGCCUGACCGGGGUGCCUGUCCCCCGCGUAUCACAGGCAGUCAUAUCAGAUAGGAUCGCCGUUGCGUGACGCUUGCAGCGUAACGGUUAAACUCUAGUAAGCUCGCCCCUUGCACCCUGACCUUCGGGUCGCUUGGGGUUAAAAGAAUAGAAGGAACCUAAGCAUGUAGAGCCAAGGGCGGAGUACCGGCGGACGCGGGUUCAACUCCCGCCGUCUCCACCA
This 363-nucleotide transfer-messenger RNA is filed under the name Oleiphilaceae. RNAcentral's name for it is "Halospina salipaludis Standard tmRNA". It matches the Rfam family "transfer-messenger RNA". From Rfam's summary of the family: Bacterial tmRNA, also known as 10Sa RNA or SsrA, is named for its dual tRNA and mRNA-like properties. Lineage: Bacteria; Pseudomonadati; Pseudomonadota; Gammaproteobacteria; Oceanospirillales. RNAcentral also lists the same sequence under 1 other name. The record is from RNAcentral.